UACGAAGGGGGCUAGCGUUGUUCGGAUUUACUGGGCGUAAAGCGCACGUAGGCGGGUCGUUAAGUCAGGGGUGAAAUCCUGGAGCUCAACUCCAGAACUGCCUUUGAUACUGAAGAUCUUGAGUUCGGGAGAGGUGAGUGGAACUGCGAGUGUAGAGGUGAAAUUCGUAGAUAUUCGCAAGAACACCAGUGGCGAAGGCGGCUCACUGGCCCGAUACUGACGCUGAGGCACGAAAGCGUGGGGAGCAAACAGG
Molecule: ribosomal RNA, 253 nt
Filed under: uncultured bacterium
Lineage: Bacteria
Description: partial 16S ribosomal RNA
Rfam family: Bacterial small subunit ribosomal RNA
Source: RNAcentral